RNAcentral lists this ribosomal RNA (520 nucleotides) under uncultured Entrophospora. RNAcentral describes it as "SSU rRNA". It matches the Rfam family "Eukaryotic small subunit ribosomal RNA", at positions 569 to 1082 of the family's 1831-position model. Lineage: Eukaryota; Fungi; Glomeromycota; Glomeromycetes; Entrophosporales; Entrophosporaceae. The record is from RNAcentral.
AGCAGCCGCGGUAAUUCCAGCUCCAAUAGCGUAUAUUAAAGUUGUUGCAGUUAAAAAGCUCGUAGUUGAAUUUCGGGAUUGGCGCAUCGGUCGUGCCUCACGGGGUAUGAACUGGUGCAGUCAAUUUCUCACCUUCUGGAGAACCGCGAUGUCCUUAAUUGGAUGCCGCGGGGAACCAGGACCUUUACUUUGAAAAAAUUAGAGUGUUUAAAGCAGGCAUUUUUGCUUGAAUACAUUAGCAUGGAAUAAUAAAAUAGGACGGCAUGGUUCUAUUUUGUUGGUUUCUAGGACCACCGUAAUGAUUAAUAGGGAUAGUUGGGGGCAUUAGUAUUCAAUUGUCAGAGGUGAAAUUCUUGGAUUUAUUGAAGACUAACUACUGCGAAAGCAUUUGCCAAGGAUGUUUUCAUUAAUCAAGAACGAAAGUUAGGGGAUCGAAGACGAUCAGAUACCGUCGUAGUCUUAACCAUAAACUAUGCCGACUAGGAAUCAGACGAUGUUAAUUUUUUAANGUACUCGUUUG